RNAcentral lists this ribosomal RNA (253 nucleotides) under uncultured bacterium. Its description in RNAcentral is "partial 16S ribosomal RNA". It matches the Rfam family "Bacterial small subunit ribosomal RNA", at positions 524 to 776 of the family's 1533-position model. The record is from RNAcentral.
GACGUAGGGCGCGAGCGUUGUCCGGAAUUAUUGGGCGUAAAGAGCUCGUAGGCGGCUUGUCGCGUCGACUGUGAAAACCCGCGGCUCAACUGCGGGCCUGCAGCCGAUACGGGCAGGCUAGAGUUCGGUAGGGGAGACUGGAAUUCCUGGUGUAGCGGUGAAAUGCGUAGAUAUCUGGAGGAACACCGGUGGCGAAGGCGGCAUCCUGGACCAAUAUUGACGCUGAGGAGCGAAAGCCAGGGGAGCAAACGGG